GGUGCUUUAGAGAAGUGGUUUAACUCACUCCCUUUGGGCUUGCACAAUUGGGAGAGAUCGGGGGUUCGAAUCCCCCAAGCGCCC
This is a non-coding RNA of Hypoxylon fuscum, 84 nucleotides long. Lineage: Eukaryota; Fungi; Ascomycota; Sordariomycetes; Xylariales; Hypoxylaceae. The record is from the annotation of a GenBank genome assembly.